Molecule: ribosomal RNA, 429 nt
Filed under: bacterium
Lineage: Bacteria
Description: partial 16S ribosomal RNA
Rfam family: Bacterial small subunit ribosomal RNA
Source: RNAcentral
UAGGGAAUCUUCGGCAAUGGGGGCAACCCUGACCGAGCAACGCCGCGUGAGUGAAGAAGUUUUUCGGAUCGUAAAGCUCUGUUGUAAGAGAAGAACGUGUGUGAGAGUGGAAAGUUCACACAGUGACGGUAACUUACCAGAAAGGGACGGCUAACUACGUGCCAGCAGCCGCGGUAAUACGUAGUUCCCGAGCGUUGUCCGGAUUUAUUGGGCGUAAAGCGAGCGCAGGCGGUUUAAUAAGUCUGAAGUUAAAGGCAGUGGCUUAACCAUUCUUCGCUCUGGUACUUGUUAAACGUGAGUGCAGAAGUGGAGAGUGGAAUUGCAUGUGUAGCGGUGAAAUGCGUAGAUAUAUGGAGGAACACCGGUGGCAAAAGCGGCUCUCUGGUCUGUAACUGACGCUGAGCCUCGAAAGCGUGGGGAGCAAACAGG